This is an RNA transcript of Oryctolagus cuniculus (rabbit), 5194 nucleotides long. It is a transcript of the gene named mediator complex subunit 7, with no coding region annotated. The record is from RefSeq and is a predicted model, not a curated record. Lineage: Eukaryota; Metazoa; Chordata; Mammalia; Lagomorpha; Leporidae.
CUUCCGGACCCCGCUGCUUCCUCUCGGCCGGAUUGGGAGUUCGGGAGGCCGUAGGGUCGGCCUACGAGGGCGCUCGCUGGUUUUCCUUUUCUGCGGUCUUCCAGGGCCGUGGCCUGGCUGCCGCGGAAGGUGCCCCGGGGCGGCGGGCUCCGGGUUUCCUCAGUGUGGGGUCGGCGCGGGACUGCAGGUUGGGAGGCGUGGGUUCUGGCCCCGGCGCAGCUGGUUUUCCAAGGUGCUUGAUCUUCCACAAUGGGUGAGCCACAGCAAGUGAGUGCACUUCCUCCACCUCCUAUGCAGUACAUCAAGGAAUACACUGAUGAAAAUAUUCAGGAAGGUCUAGCUCCCAAGCCACCCCCUCCAAUCAAAGACAGUUAUAUGAUGUUUGGCAACCAGUUCCAAUGUGAUGAUCUUAUUAUCCGCCCUUUGGAAAGUCAGGGCAUCGAAAGGCUUCAUCCUAUGCAAUUUGAUCACAAGAAAGAACUGAGGAAACUCAAUAUGUCUAUCCUUAUUAAUUUCUUGGACCUUUUAGAUAUCUUGAUAAGGAGCCCUGGGAGUAUAAAACGAGAAGAGAAGCUGGAAGAUCUUAAGCUGCUUUUUGUCCAUGUGCAUCAUCUCAUAAAUGAAUACAGACCCCACCAAGCAAGAGAGACCUUGAGAGUUAUGAUGGAAGUCCAGAAACGACAGAGGCUUGAAACAGCCGAGAGGUUUCAGAAGCAUCUGGAGCGAGUGAUUGAGAUGAUUCAGAAUUGCUUGGCCUCUUUGCCUGAUGAUUUACCCCACUCAGAAGCAGGAAUAAAAGUAAAAACUGAACCAAUGGAUGCUGAUGAUAGCAACAAUUGUACUGGACAGAGUGAGCAGCAAAGAGAAAAUUCAGGUCAUCGAAGGGACCAGAUUAUAGAAAAAGACGCUGCCUUGUGUGUCCUAAUUGAUGAAAUGAAUGAAAGACCGUGACUCAUGGCUUUGGAAGGCAACUUCAACUCACGUGCUGUGUUGUAGAGAAGAUGCCUGUGCCAGGCUCUGAGCUUCCUGCUUAUGUAUGCCCUGGGAGGAAACUGAUGGCUCAAGUACUUGGGUUCCCGACACUCAUGUGGGAGACCUGGAUUGUAUUCCUGGCCCCUGGCUUCAGUCUUGACCCAACUCUGGAAAUUGUGACCUUUUGAAGAGUGAAUCAAUGGAUGGGAGAUCUUUGCCUUUCAAAUAAAGUGAAAAUAAAAUUUAAAAAUUGCAAUGUGAGCAGGCUACCAGUAAGUGGCACUCUUACCUCAAGUUUAAGGGGCUAUAGCAGUGGAGAGGAUGAAAAUGAAGAAACCUGGAGUUACCUCCUAGGGUACUCAAACUUGUGACACCCUAAUUCUGAGUACUUUGUGUAAAGCAUUAGAUUGAGUCAUUAGAUCCUCAUUGGUACCUGUUGUGUCAGAAUGGGUUGGUGUUGGAAAACAUGUCAGAAUGUUGAAAUUUGGGCUCCACCAGUUAUUAACUGUGUAGCCUUGGUUUGGUGUAUUAUUGAUACACCAAAUUGAUACACCAAUUGAUACUUAAUUUCUUUAGCUUUGGUAAUCACAGUACCCAUGUCUAGUGUAGGUAGCAUCUAAUGUUGAGAAUGAAAGAAGAGACUCCCACUAAUUCUUUCUGAAGCUCUUUUGCCUCCAAGCCACAUGCUCAGGUCUCAAGACUCUCUAAUCACCUUUGCAGGAGGGAGGGACAAAGGAAAAUCAAUAGCAGAAAUUAAGGGAGGGGGUUGCUACUAUAGAUAUUGCAGACAGCAGAAUAAAAGAAUAUUAUAAAUAGCUUUAUCCCAAUAAAUUUGAAAACUUAGACAAAAUAAAUUCUUACAAAAUUACUAAAACUAAUUCAAUAGGAAGCUGAGUAGUUUUCUAACAACUUAGAAAAAAAGAUCAGUACUCAAAUUUUUCUUAUAAUGCAGACCAAACAUUGCCAGAAAACACACACUUAAACAAUUCUAAUCUAUACAAUCUCUCUUACAGAAGAGAAAAACAGUAAACAUUACCCCAUUCCUUUAUGGGGAUUGUGUAAAUUAGCAAGUUAAGUCCGAAAAUAUAAAAAAACUUGAAUGUUUCAUGGUUUAUCUCACAGUGCAGAAUAGAAAAUUAAUGUAUUCUAUCACUAUACUAAAGAAGACAAACAAUUCAACAAAUGUGCAAAAGGCAUUUAUAAAAUUUAGCAUCCACUCAUUAAAAAGAAAAAACUCCUAGAACAUUGAGUAUAGAAGAGAAGGUCCUUAGUAUAAUAAAUUAUUCUAUACAAUUUGUAGCAUGUAUUAUACCCAAAUUGGAAUGUGAAACCUUGCCUUUGAACUCUGGGAAAGAAUGUAUACUAGAGUUUCUAAGCAGCAUAGCACAGGGAGAAAAAUGAGAAGUAUGAAAAGGAAGAAACUAAGUUAUUAGUUGUAGAAAAUAAUUGUCAACAUAGAAAAUUCAAUACAAUCUCUGAUGACUUAUUAGAGUUUAUGGGUUGCUGAGAAAAAAAACCGAAUAUUCAAAAAAUAAAUUUCAGUAUACAGCAGAAACAGAAAAUAAAAAUUUUAAAAUAAGAUACCAUUUGAAAUAGUAUCAGGAAUAUAUAUAGUGCCCAGGAAUAAAUAAAAAAAUGAAGACUUUUUGUGGAGAACAUUUUUAAAUGUUUUUAAGAGAUGAUAAACCUCAAUAGAAAGGAAGACAAAAUGUUUAUGGGUUGAAAUACUUAACAUUGAAAGAGGUCAGAUUUUGUCCAGACUAAUCUAUGGAUUCAACAUAAUCUAAUCAUUUCUGCCAAGUUGUUUUUUUAAUUUGAUAAGAUGAUUCCAAAAUUGUUGGAGUUACAAAGAACCUACACAGAUAACCUCAAAAAAGGACAGAGGGGAAGGAUUUUCCCUACAUGACAUCAACCUCUAUUAUAAUGCUGCUGUGAUUAAGACAGUGAGCACGUUUAGAGAAUUUGAGUAGAAUAGAAGGACAGGAAUCAGAUCCAUGCUUAGAUGAUUUUUGAAAUACAACAGAGAUGAUGUUACACGGUAGUGGGGAAAUGCUGGGAUUUUCUAGGAGAGGACAUCGAGCCUAGUAGUUAGGAAACUGGCAUCCUACACUGGAGUGCCUGAAUUCUGUUCCAACUCUGGCUCCUGGUUCCAGCAUUCUUGCUAAUAUAGACCCUGGGAGGCAGUGGUGAUGUCUCAUGUAACUGGAAUACUCCUUGCCUCAGCCCCAGCCCUGGCCAUUGCAAGCAUUUGAGGAAUGAACCAGGAGAUUCUCUCUGUCUCUCUCUGACUCUCAAAUGAAAAUACAAUAAAUGCUGGAACUUUCAACGAAAGGGGCUAGGAUACAACAUGAGAAGUCCAUUUCAGGAGGAUUAAAACCUAACUGAAAGAUAGAAGUACGAAGCUUUUCAGGCUAAUGUGGGUAAUAAUUUCACAAUCCUUGAAUAAGAGAAAAUUUUCUUAGGUAAAAUACAAAAUGCACUACUUAGAAAAGAUUGGUCAAUUUCACUACAUUGAAAUCAAGAAACUGUGUUCAAGAAAACAUUCCAUAAACAAAGUGAAAAGCAAAAGUGUGAGAGGAACUAUUUGCAACAGAUGAAACCAGCAGGGUAGUAUAACCCAGGAUACAUAAUUAUUUGUAUAAAUCAAUAAGAAAAAUAUCAACCCAGCCAAAAAAAAAAAAAAAUAGGCCAAGAAAUUAAACAAGCAUUUACCCAAGGAAAAAAAAAAAUUCUAGGGGCUGGCAUUGUGGUAUACUGGGUAAAGCCAUUGCCUGUGAUGCCAGCAUCCCAUGUAGGCACAGGUUUGAGUCCUGCCUGCUCCUCUUCUGAUCCAACUUCCUGCUAGUGCACCUGGAAAACCAGCAGAGAAUGUCCCAAGUGCGUGGGCCUGUACAUCCACAUGGGAGACCCAGCCCUGGCUGUUGCUGCCAUUUGGGAAGUGAACCAGUGAAUGGGAGAUCUCUCUCUGUAUCUCCCUUUCUCUCUCUGUAACUCUGCCUUUCUGAUAAAUAAUAAAAUAAACCUUUAAAAAAAAUCCAAAUGAUUCAUAAACAAAAAGUGCUUAGCCUGUUAUAACCAGGGCAAUGCAAAUUAAAGUCAGAGUGAGAUGCUACCAUAUCUUUACCACUUUAGCAAAAAUGAACUGCAAAAAAUGAAACAGUUAACAAAGUCAUCUCUGGCAACGCCAAGUGUUGAAGAUGUAGAUAAGAAAUUCUUACAUGCUGCUGGUAGGAGUCUAGGAAACUAAUCAGUGUUAUUUAAGAAGGUCCAAGUUAGUUAUACCCUCUGACUCAGUAAUUCUACUCAGAAAUAUAUCCCUGUGAAACUCAUACACAUGUGCUAGGAUCGUCUAUGAGAAAGUCCAGAAUGGCAUUGUUUAUGGUAAUUGAAAUGGAAAAUGACAUGUCCAUUUAGGAUAGACUUAACAAAGAAUUUGAAAUAAAUCUAUUCUCAGGAAAAUUAUUUUAUCAUGUAAAUAAGCAACCUACAGAAACACACUGGAGCGUAGAUAGAUCUCACAAGCUCACUGUCAAGUGCAGCACGUUUUAAUUCAUGCAGUGUGAAAACCAAGCAGACCGGCGCCGCGGCUCAACAGGCUUAUCCUCCACCUAGUGGCGCCAGCACACCAGGUUCUAGUCCCGGUUGGGGCGCCGGAUUCUGUCCCGGUUGCUCCUCUUCCAGGCCAGCUCUCUGCUAUGGCCAGGGAGUGCAGUGGAGGAUGGCCCGGGUCCUUGGGCCCUGCACCCCAUGGGAGACCAGGAGAAGCACCUGGCUCCUGCCAUCGGAUCAGCGUGGUGGAGGGUGAACCAACGGCAAUGGAAGACCUUUCUCUCUGUCUCUCUCUCUCUCUCUCUCACUGUCCACUCUAUCUGUCAAAAAUAAAUUAAUUAAAACCAAGCAGAACUUUAGAUACAAUUUUGAGAAGUAAACAUGGAUGAUGAAAUUAUACUCUAUAGAUGAACUUACAUCUGUCUUUUAUUAUUAAUGCUGUAUAACAAAUGCCUGUAGGACAAGGGGAAGGGAGACUGUGUGAUUAGCAAGAGGUACCCAUUCUUGGGGUGGAGUUGUCAGCACAACUUUAGGAAGCUGGCAUCGUUUUAUGUUUUGUUUGAGGACUGAUUACUUGAGAGUUUGUUUCAAAAGUAUAUGUAAGCUCUAAAUUUAUGUUACUGUGAUGUUUGGUAUGUCUUGUAUUUCUAUUAAAAGUUUAACCUUAAUGCUA